RNAcentral lists this ribosomal RNA (465 nucleotides) under Vreelandella stevensii. RNAcentral's name for it is "partial 16S ribosomal RNA". It matches the Rfam family "Bacterial small subunit ribosomal RNA", at positions 338 to 795 of the family's 1533-position model. Lineage: Bacteria; Pseudomonadati; Pseudomonadota; Gammaproteobacteria; Oceanospirillales; Halomonadaceae. The record is from RNAcentral.
CCUACGGGAGGCAGCAGUGGGGAAUAUUGGACAAUGGGGGGAACCCUGAUCCAGCCAUGCCGCGUGUGUGAAGAAGGCCCUCGGGUUGUAAAGCACUUUCAGUGAGGAAGAACGCCUGGUGGUUAAUACCCAUCAGGAAAGACAUCACUCACAGAAGAAGCACCGGCUAACUCCGUGCCAGCAGCCGCGGUAAUACGGAGGGUGCGAGCGUUAAUCGGAAUUACUGGGCGUAAAGCGCGCGUAGGUGGCUUGAUAAGCCGGUUGUGAAAGCCCCGGGCUCAACCUGGGAACGGCAUCCGGAACUGUCAAGCUAGAGUGCAGGAGAGGAAAGUAGAAUUCCCGGUGUAGUGGUGAAAUGCGUAGAGAUCGGGAGGAAUACCAGUGGCGAAGGCGGCCUUCUGGACUGACACUGACACUGAGGUGCGAAAGCGUGGGUAGCAAACAGGAUUAGAUACCCGUGUAGUC